UUAAAUUGAGAGUUUGAUCCUGGCUCAGGAUGAACGCUGGCGGCGUGCUUAACACAUGCAAGUCGAGCGAUGAAGUUUCCUUCGGGAAACGGAUUAGCGGCGGACGGGUGAGUAACACGUGGGUAACCUGCCUCAUAGAGUGGAAUAGCCUUCCGAAAGGAAGAUUAAUACCGCAUAAUGUUGAAAGAUGGCAUCAUCAUUUAACCAAAGGAGCAAUCCGCUAUGAGAUGGACCCGCGGCGCAUUAGCUAGUUGGUGGGGUAACGGCCUACCAAGGCGACGAUGCGUAGCCGACCUGAGAGGGUGAUCGGCCACAUUGGGACUGAGACACGGCCCAGACUCCUACGGGAGGCAGCAGUGGGGAA
This 364-nucleotide ribosomal RNA is filed under the name Clostridium perfringens. RNAcentral describes it as "bacterial SSU rRNA". It matches the Rfam family "Bacterial small subunit ribosomal RNA", at positions 1 to 361 of the family's 1533-position model. Lineage: Bacteria; Bacillati; Bacillota; Clostridia; Eubacteriales; Clostridiaceae. The record is from RNAcentral.